AUACCCAGCCGUUGCUGGCUUGUGCGUUGUCUAGCGCCUGGCCGCAACGAGUAGGAGGGUCGUGGCGGUUGCGUCGAAGGCUUUGGGCGUAGGCCCAGCUGGAGCUUCCGUCAGUGCAGAUCUCGGUGGUAGUAGCAAAUAUUUAAGUUCGAUCCUUGAAGACUGAAGUGGAGAAGGGUUCCACGUGAACAGUAGUUGAAUGUGGGUCAGUCGAUCCUAAGAUACUGGCUUAUGCCUUGUAUCAUUGAGAGGGAAAAGUUUCUUUUCUCUCGGAUAUCAAAAGGGAAUAGGGUUAAUAUUCCCUAACGCAGACACAGAGAUUGCGGCUCUUUGAGUCGCUUGCGCGGUAACGCAUUCGAACUUGGUUACGUCGCUCAGAGACCGAGCUAGAGUUCUCUUCUCUAGUUAAGGAACGGACUCCCUGGAAUCGGUUCAGCCGUAGAUAGGGACGUUGUUUCCGUAAAGCAUCGCGGUUUCUGUGAUGUCUCGUGUUCUUUGGACGGCCCUUGAAAAACCAAGGAAGGCUAUCAAUCUGUGCUGCAUC
RNAcentral lists this ribosomal RNA (544 nucleotides) under Uncinaria sp. SAN-2011. RNAcentral describes it as "eukaryotic LSU rRNA". It matches the Rfam family "Eukaryotic large subunit ribosomal RNA", at positions 1344 to 1843 of the family's 3401-position model. The record is from RNAcentral. Lineage: Eukaryota; Metazoa; Nematoda; Chromadorea; Rhabditida; Ancylostomatidae.